Molecule: microRNA, 21 nt
Filed under: Picea abies (Norway spruce)
Lineage: Eukaryota; Viridiplantae; Streptophyta; Pinopsida; Pinales; Pinaceae
Description: pab-miR11411d
Source: miRBase by way of RNAcentral
UGAAAUCUGCAAAUCUGGGUU